CAGCCGCCGCGGUAAUACGUAGGGUGCAAGCGUUAAUCGGAAUUACUGGGCGUAAAGCGUGCGCAGGCGGUUAUAUAAGACAGAUGUGAAAUCCCCGGGCUCAACCUGGGAACUGCAUUUGUGACUGUAUAGCUAGAGUACGGCAGAGGGGGAUGGAAUUCCGCGUGUAGCAGUGAAAUGCGUAGAUAUGCGGAGGAACACCGAUGGCGAAGGCAAUCCCCUGGGCCUGUACUGACGCUUAUGCACGAAAGCGUGGGGAGCAAACAGGAUUAGAGACCCCAGUAGUCCCUGUCUCUUAUAC
This 301-nucleotide ribosomal RNA is filed under the name uncultured bacterium. RNAcentral describes it as "partial 16S ribosomal RNA". It matches the Rfam family "Bacterial small subunit ribosomal RNA", at positions 509 to 807 of the family's 1533-position model. The record is from RNAcentral.